UACAGAGGGUGCGAGCGUUGUCCGGAAUUACUGGGCGUAAAGUGUGCGCAGGCGGCAGAGCAAGUCGAGUGUGAAAGCCCCGGGCUUAACUUGGGAAUUGCGCUCGAAACUACUUUGCUGGAGUGUGGCAGAGGCAGGUGGAAUUCCGGGUGUAGCGGUGGAAUGCGUAGAGAUCCGGAAGAACACCAGUGGCGAAGGCGGCCUGCUGGGCAGUUGCUGACGCUGAGGCGCGACAGCGUGGGGAGCAAACAGG
RNAcentral lists this ribosomal RNA (253 nucleotides) under uncultured bacterium. RNAcentral describes it as "partial 16S ribosomal RNA". It matches the Rfam family "Bacterial small subunit ribosomal RNA", at positions 524 to 776 of the family's 1533-position model. The record is from RNAcentral.